Molecule: ribosomal RNA, 467 nt
Filed under: uncultured bacterium
Lineage: Bacteria
Description: bacterial SSU rRNA
Rfam family: Bacterial small subunit ribosomal RNA
Source: RNAcentral
GACGAACGCUGGCGGCGUGCCUAACACAUGCAAGUCGAACGAAGCUCCCCGAUACAAAGGCUUCGGCCAAGUUGAAGGGAUGACUUAGUGGCGGACGGGUGAGUAACGCGUGAGGAACCUGCCUUUCAGUGGGGGACAACAGUUGGAAACGACUGCUAAUACCGCAUAAUGUUUCUGGACCGCAUGAUUUGGAAACCAAAGCUUUAUGUGCUGAAAGAUGGCCUCGCGUCUGAUUAGAUAGUUGGUGAGGUAACGGCCCACCAAGUCUACGAUCAGUAGCCGGACUGAGAGGUUGAACGGCCACAUUGGGACUGAGAUACGGCCCAGACUCCUACGGGAGGCAGCAGUGGGGAAUAUUGGGCAAUGGGGGAAACCCUGACCCAGCAACGCCGCGUGAAGGAAGAAGGCUUUCGGGUUGUAAACUUCUUUUACCAGGGACGAAGGACGUGACGGUACCUGGAGAAAAA